UAGCAAUACUUAGUGGCAGACGGGUGAGUAACAUGUGGGUAUCUGCCCUUUGGCCUGGAAUAACACGAGGAAACUUGUGCUAAUACCGGAUAAGUCUUUACGGAGAAAGCUUUAUGCACCAUUGGAUGAGCCCGCACUUGAUUAGUUUGUUGGUGGGGUAAUGGCCUACCAAGACUGUGAUCAAUAGCUGAUUUGAGAGGAUGAUCAGCCACAUUGGGACUGAGACACGGCCCAAACUCCUACGGGAGGCAGCAGUGGGGAAUCUUGCACAAUGGAGGAAACUCUGAUGCAGCGAUGCCGCGUGAGUGAAGGAGGCCCUUGGGUUGUAAAGCUCUUUCGUCGGGGAAGAAAAUGACUGUACCCGAAUAAGAAGGUCCGGCUAACUUCGUGCCAGCAGCCGCGGUAUACGAAGGGACCUAGCGUAGUUCGGAAUUACUGGGCUUAAAGAGUUCGUAGGUGGUUGAAAAAGUUAGUGGUGAAAUCCCAGAGCUUAACUCUGGAACUGCCAUUAAAACUUUUCAGCUAGAGUAUGAUAGAGGAAAGCAGAAUUUCUAGUGUAGAGGUGAAAUUCGUAGAUAUUAGAAAGAAUACCAAUUGCGAAGGCAGCUUUCUGGAUCAUUACUGACACUGAGGAACGAAAGCAUGGGUAGCGAAGAGGAUUAGAUACCCUCGUAGUCCAUGCCGUAAACGAUGUGUGUUAGACGUUGGAAAUUUAUUUUCAGUGUCGCAGCGAAAGCGAUAAACACACCGCCUGGGGAGUACGACCGCAAGGUUAAAACUCAAAGGAAUUGACGG
Molecule: ribosomal RNA, 795 nt
Filed under: uncultured Alphaproteobacteria bacterium
Lineage: Bacteria; Pseudomonadati; Pseudomonadota; Alphaproteobacteria
Description: bacterial SSU rRNA
Rfam family: Bacterial small subunit ribosomal RNA
Source: RNAcentral